RNAcentral lists this non-coding RNA (356 nucleotides) under Tetranychus urticae (two-spotted spider mite). RNAcentral describes it as "eukaryotic small subunit ribosomal RNA". It matches the Rfam family "Eukaryotic small subunit ribosomal RNA", at positions 1165 to 1831 of the family's 1831-position model. The record is from Rfam by way of RNAcentral. Lineage: Eukaryota; Metazoa; Arthropoda; Arachnida; Trombidiformes; Tetranychidae.
CACUUGAUUGACUCGUCAAAAAGAUUGGCUUAGACAUCGGGUUAUUUUUGCAUGAUGAAAGAUUCAAAGCCUUGCUCAAGUUUUUCAACUUUGAGCUGUUUCCAGUUUCUAAGUCACUGGGUUACUCAAAGUUAAAAGUUGUUUUGCCCUCUUGUAAAAAAAAAUUGAUAAAACUUGACCGAUGAGUUAAACUAUGCCCUUUGUACACACCGCCUGUCGCUACUACCAAUGAUUUAGCGAGCACUUUGGGUAAACUUUUAGUCGGAUUGUGCUGGAAAGAUGUUCAAACUUGAUCAUUUAGAGGAAGUAAAAGUCGUACCAAGGUUUCCGUAGGUGAACCUGCGGAAGGAUCAUUA